CUUAAAGUUGAUACGCCAAACGCCAUUCAAAGAACAGAAGAAAAGAGAUUUGCGUUUACUUUAAACUUUCUUUUUGCAACUUACAUUUAAAAAAUAAAAUAACAAAGAAAAUGUAAUUAAUUCAACGCUACUUUGAGGAAAGACAUGCAGAUGCAGUGGUUUUGGAGAUGCUGCAAGCAAAUCAUGGCGGCUCAGUUUUUUUGGGGAUCUCACAUAUGAAGGUCACUUCAAUGACAGCAUCGAACAUCAGUGCCUGUUUCAGUUCUGCUUCCAAAACAGGAUUUGACCCUGUAGACUUGCACUGUCCCCUGGGAGGUUAACAAAUAAACACUACCAUCUACCACACAAGUCGGCAAGAUAUAUCUGUCAGGAUCACGUGACUGUCACCUUGCAGUUUAGGAAUUCAUGUUAUGUGUUUAACAUUCGUUAAAUACUUAAAAGCAGCAAUACAUUUUUUUUUUACAUAUAUUAGUAACCUUACCUCUAAUACAAUACCUCUUGCAGCACUUCCACUACAUUUUGGUUUACCAGGUCUUUUGAAUGAAAAUGGGUCCUCCACAGACAUGGGAAUAUUUUUUUCCUGCCAAGAAAUACUAAUUCUCCCUGACAGCUGUAUUAGAAAUUUUAAAUUCAUAGUACAUAUAUACUCAUCUGUAUAUAAUGUUCAUAGUACAUACACAUCUGUAAAUUACUGUUUAUAGUCCUAUAAUAUCAUUUAAUUUAAUUUAUGUAAAUCAUGUAAACACUAUAU
Silurus meridionalis is the source of this 751-nucleotide long non-coding RNA. RefSeq lists it as uncharacterized. NCBI's taxonomy places the organism in Eukaryota, Metazoa, Chordata, Actinopteri, Siluriformes, Siluridae. The transcript has 3 exons. The record is from RefSeq and is a predicted model, not a curated record.